Molecule: ribosomal RNA, 383 nt
Filed under: uncultured eukaryote
Lineage: Eukaryota
Description: partial 18S ribosomal RNA
Rfam family: Eukaryotic small subunit ribosomal RNA
Source: RNAcentral
CAAUAGCGUAUAUUAAAGUUGUUGCAGUUAAAAAGCUCGUAGUUGGAUUUCUGGUGGGAGCGAUCGGUCUGGCGCUUAGCGCGAGUACUUGCAUCGUCUCCGGCCAUCCUUGGGGAAAGUCUGUCUGGCAUUAAGUUGUCGGGCAGAGGAUCCUCAUCGUUUACUGUGAAAAAAUUAGAGUGUUCAAAGCAGGCUUAUGCCGUUGAAUAUAUUAGCAUGGAAUAAUAAGAUAGGACUUUGGUACUAUUUUGUUGGUUUGCGCACCAAAGUAAUGAUUAAUAGGGACAGUUGGGGGUAUUCGUAUUCCGUUGUCAGAGGUGAAAUUCUUGGAUUUACGGAAGACGAACUACUGCGAAAGCAUUUACCAAGGAUGUUUUCAUUGA